Molecule: ribosomal RNA, 492 nt
Filed under: uncultured bacterium
Lineage: Bacteria
Description: partial 16S ribosomal RNA
Rfam family: Bacterial small subunit ribosomal RNA
Source: RNAcentral
AGUGAACGCUGGCGGUAGGCCUAACACAUGCAAGUCGAACGGCAGCACAGUAAGAGCUUGCUCUUACGGGUGGCGAGUGGCGGACGGGUGAGGACUACAUCGGAAUCUACUUUUUCGUGGGGGAUAACGUAGGGAAACUUACGCUAAUACCGCAUACGACCUACGGGUGAAAGCAGGGGAUCUUCGGACCUUGCGCGAUUGAAUGAGCCGAUGUCGGAUUAGCUAGUUGGCGGGGUAAAGGCCCACCAAGGCGACGAUCCGUAGUUGGUCUGAGAGGAUGAUCAGCCACACUGGAACUGAGACACGGUCCAGACUCCUACGGGAGGCAGCAGUGGGGAAUAUUGGACAAUGGGCGCAAGCCUGAUCCAGCCAUACCGCGUGGGUGAAGAAGGCCUUCGGGUUGUAAAGCCCUUUUGUUGGGAAAGAAAAGCAGCAGGUUAAUACCCCGCUGUUCUGACGGUACCCAAAGAAUAAGCACCGGCUAACUUCGUG